RNAcentral lists this non-coding RNA (172 nucleotides) under uncultured Catenibacillus sp. The record is from RNAcentral. Lineage: Bacteria; Bacillati; Bacillota; Clostridia; Lachnospirales; Lachnospiraceae.
UUAAAUUAGGUAUCUUUAGAUUUAAUAGAGAAUUUGGUUAAGCCAAAGCGGUCACGCCACUGUAACAGUGAGGGACUUUGCAAAAGGACGCACAGCGUUCUUGGUCACUGAGAAAUUUUCUUGGGAAGACGCAAAGAAACGAUGAACUGAAGCCAGGAGAACUGCCUAAUUG